Molecule: small RNA, 570 nt
Filed under: Gloeoporus sp. 13-0-1
Lineage: Eukaryota; Fungi; Basidiomycota; Agaricomycetes; Polyporales; Irpicaceae
Description: eukaryotic LSU rRNA
Rfam family: 5.8S ribosomal RNA (bases 223-376)
Source: RNAcentral
GGAAGGAUCAUUAUCGAGUUUUGAAACGGGUUGUCGCUGGCCUUUCACAAGGCAUUGUGCACGCCUGGCUCAUCCACUCUUCAACCUCUGUGCACUUUUUGUAGGAAAAAAAAAUGGGUUUGAAGCUGAUGCAAGUCAGUAGAUGCCUAUUUUCUUUCCUAUGUUUUUAUUACAAACGCUUCAGUUAUAGAAUGUUUACUUGCAGAUAAUGCAUUUAUAUACAACUUUCAGCAACGGAUCUCUUGGCUCUCGCAUCGAUGAAGAACGCAGCGANAUGCGAUAAGUAAUGUGAAUUGCAGNAUUCAGUGAAUCAUCGAAUCUUUGAACGCACCUUGCGCUCCUUGGUAUUCCGAGGAGCAUGCCUGUUUGAGUAUCAUGGNAUUCUCNACUCCUAAAUUUUUGUUAUCAAAAGUUUAGUGAGCUUGGAUUUGGAGGCCGUGUCGGCUCUAGUCAGUCGACUCCUCUGAAAUGCUAUUAGUGUGAAUCUUACUGAUCGCCUUCAGUGUGAUAAUUGUCUACGCUGUGGUUGUGAAGUAAUCUAUGUAUUCAUGCUUAUAACUGUCUCUUCUA